GCGCACUUAGCUCAGCGGGAGAGCACCUCCUUGACGCGGAGGGGGCCAGAGGUUCGAUCCCUCUAGUGCGCACCA
This 75-nucleotide transfer RNA is filed under the name bacterium. RNAcentral's name for it is "tRNA-Val". It matches the Rfam family "tRNA". Rfam says of the family: Transfer RNA (tRNA) molecules are approximately 80 nucleotides in length. Their secondary structure includes four short double-helical elements and three loops (D, anti-codon, and T loops). The record is from RNAcentral. RNAcentral also lists the same sequence under 3 other names.